This 1069-nucleotide long non-coding RNA is filed under the name Vulpes vulpes (red fox). Its description in RNAcentral is "lncRNA (ENSVVUG00000011068.1)". Lineage: Eukaryota; Metazoa; Chordata; Mammalia; Carnivora; Canidae. The record is from RNAcentral.
AAAAUGUAUUCCCUUUAACCGUGGGCAAAUUGCUUAACCUCCCUGCUCAGUUUCCCCCAUGAAAACUGGAGGUAAUGAUAAUGAGCAUGCUUGGGUAAAGCAGCUGGUACAUAGUAAGUACCUAUAUGUGUAUGACAUUGGGGAAAUUACUCAAUAAGAAUUUGUUCAAGGUCACACAACUAAUGGUGGCAGAGUCAGGAUGUCUUUCCAGGUUCUGGAGCUCAUAUCUUAACUAAAAAUGUUCCAAUUUAUUACAACAAUUAGAUUGUAGUCUUUCUAAUACAUUUAGCUAAGAAUUAGUAUGUAUUUUAUUGGGUUUCACACAACUCUUUAAAAUAGUAUUAAUUGUUCUCACUACCCAUUGUUGAUUGAAUCUUUACGGCCUAGAACCAGAUACUUGAUACACAAUGAAGACCUGGAAGUGUCCAGAAUAGAAAUGUCUGGAGCUCUGCUUGGUGGACAUGAGCAGACAAUUACUGACUCGUAGCCCCACAAGGGACUUGAUCUUAUGAGGAAAGAUACAUGGUAGGGAUCCGACAAUUGCCAAUGAACUAUUUGCUUCACAGAAGAAAAGAAGCUACAAAACUAAGAAAAAUAGCCUUCCUCUCUCUGCUUUCACACCUCAUUUUGACUAUUUACACAAAGAGAAAUGGAUUUGUUUCUGGUCAUUUACUCCCACUUUAAAGAAUGGCCUUCUGUCUACAUGGAAAAGUAUUGGAAACCUUGUUUACCUGGAAUUAUUUUGACUCUGGACUACUAUUCAAAGACUUCUUGAAAACAACAUAAAGUAAUAGCUUUUGUGCUGGGCCACCUGGAAGCCUUGACACUGGAAGAGCCCUGUGGAUGCCGUAGCAACUGCAAGCUUUGUAGUCAUAGUAACAGCCUUGUGCUCUAGAGGCAAAACCAAUGAGCUUUAAGCAUCACUACAUUCUAGCUAAGCUUCUCUGACCUUAUCAGGGAGCAACAAGAUCUGUCUGUUCUUCCAAGUGCACGUGCCCCUCAGCAGGAAGGGAAAGCUGUGCAUAAUGUACCUGAUUUAAAUGUCAUGUUUGGAUUAUUCAAGCACAUG